RNAcentral lists this long non-coding RNA (210 nucleotides) under Elaeis guineensis (African oil palm). Its description in RNAcentral is "long non-coding RNA (EGUI_LNC056703)". Lineage: Eukaryota; Viridiplantae; Streptophyta; Magnoliopsida; Arecales; Arecaceae. The record is from RNAcentral.
UAAAUCGGUUUAUUACUAUAAACCCCUUUCUUAGUUGUAUUCUUCUUGAUUUUUGACUAAGAAAUUCACCUUCUCCUAGCCUCUUUCCUUCUCUAUCUUCUUUGUUUUGCUAAAGAACCCAAACAGCAAAAAAUUGGGAUAGGUAGCUAGUGUUUUGGAAAAGAAUAAAUUAACGAAAUAGUUUGCUAGGUGUUUAACCCAUGAAAAGCU